CCUAUUCAAACUGGCCCUGAGUUGUCUCAGUGCAGUUGCUGGGACAAUUCCUCCUGACCACCUUGACCUGAGCUGCACAGGAGGACGAGAGAGACACUCGGCGAUGGAUUCAGAGAGACGGUUUUGUCCUCGACCUCUGGACACCUCAAAAGGGUGCUCAGGUUUGAGGGCAGAUUAACAGGGCUGAGAAAGUUCCCCUUGAGCGACAAAUUCAUUUCUUUAUUAAGGUUGUAUUGCUACUAUUACAGCAGUGGCAAACUCCGGUCCUGGAGAGCCGCAGCCCUGCAGAGUUCAGCUCUAACCCUAAUUAAAACUCACCUGCCUGUAGCUUCCAAUGUGUUCACUUAGAGAUGGCUGCCAGUCAACCAAUAAAGAAAAAGAGAUGACUACAAAGUAAUUUGUGUUGACAGACUGCCAUUACAUUUGCAUGUGAUUAUGUGGGUCAGGUUUUUCUUACAUAAGCCA
Molecule: long non-coding RNA, 465 nt
Filed under: Sinocyclocheilus grahami
Lineage: Eukaryota; Metazoa; Chordata; Actinopteri; Cypriniformes; Cyprinidae
Description: lncRNA (ENSSGRG00000041654.1)
Source: RNAcentral